This 936-nucleotide long non-coding RNA is filed under the name Papio anubis (olive baboon). RNAcentral describes it as "lncRNA (ENSPANG00000049894.1)". The record is from RNAcentral. Lineage: Eukaryota; Metazoa; Chordata; Mammalia; Primates; Cercopithecidae.
AGUUCUUUGUCCAACUUAGCUUCAACUUUAACAAACACAAGAGUACUUGUAGAGAGAAAUUCUCCUCCAACGCAUACUCUUCUGAUGAUUACCAGCAGGUCCACUGGCAGCAGCUGGAUUGAGUGUCUGAGUCAGCCUGGCUGAUUACCUUAAUCACCUUAAUCACAGAAUCUACCCUCCCUGGAAUGGCCUUAACAUGGAGAGUGGCAGAAUGGCAGAACUACCACUUUAAGCUGAAAACUCCUCGUUAGAACGUGUUCUGAUGCCUUUAAUGAAGAGCUUGUGAUUUGUAGGAGGGACAAGAUAAUUUCAAGGCUUUGUCAAUUCUUUGCUAGUUCUUUUCUUAGUAAAGAGUUUUCCAAGAACAUCUUCGUUAGAAUACAUGGCACAUCUUGAGAGGUGCUGCUGACGUCUAAGGGAAGCUGUUGAUUUGAGGAAUUUGAAGGUUUCUGGAAGAAGGAUUUGGAAAAUUUGAAGUGAACCUCUUUUGGGAAUUAAAAGUGCUAGGUCCCUUCUCAUGGGAUCGAAUAGCAGAGUCCUGGCUACGGGUUCAAAUGCCCUGCUGAAAUCCUCAGACAAUUCCAACAUCCACAAAGCUACGAAAGGAGGGCAGAGAAAUUUGCUCUCCUGAAUGAAUAUUCUUGGACUCCUUUGUGAAGGUGCACAGAAACCCAGACUCUGUUUUGUGCUUUGAGAGACAGUGAGGUGAGCAUUUCAACAGAAAGGUGAGCAUUUUAACUUAGACCUGUAGAUACAGGUACAUUCAAAAAUUAAAAUUAUUUCUCUGGAACUAUUAAUAAGAAAUAAGAUUACUUCAUUCAUUAUUGUGCAGAGGCCUAGUUCUAAAAUAAUUUAAUGAUUUUCUUUCUGAGAAUCACUUUUCUAUUGAUCCUUUACAUAAGCAAAUAUGUAUAUGUUGCCUCAGGGAAAAUCAGG